Molecule: RNA transcript, 1821 nt
Organism: Lucilia sericata (common green bottle fly)
Lineage: Eukaryota; Metazoa; Arthropoda; Insecta; Diptera; Calliphoridae
Gene name: E3 ubiquitin-protein ligase MARCHF5
Exons: 4
Source: RefSeq, a predicted model, not a curated record
GUAUGUGUUAGUUUCGGUCAUACAUUUCUUGUAGGGUGGUUAGUUUCCUAUAAAAAAUAAAGAAAAAUGCAAAAUAAAUAAAUUACGAAGUCCAUAGACGUUUUUAUUUAUCUAUUUUGUGCUUACACGAAUUUAGAAAAUCCAAUUUAAUCAAUAGCAAAAACAUUUUAAUAAAAAAUAUAUUUGUAUGUGGAGAAAAGGGAAAACUAAUCGCUUCAGUCUGUUUUGUCUAGGGAAAGACGAGAAGAACUUUUAAAUGGAAGAAAAUCGUGAUUCCCCAACAACCUCUAGCCGAAUAACAACGAAAGCUAAAAUUGAGUCCAAUAUGGAAUCAAUGGAGGGAUCUACAGAUGUUGGGACAGACGAUAAGUAUACAGCAAGUGAAAAGACCACACCCGAAACCAGACAUCGUUCCGUUGAUGACAUCAAGAGGUCUGUUAAUGUCAAGGAUAUACAACGUUCAAACUCAAAUGAUUCUGGCAGUUCGGCCAUACAGGUGUAUCAAGAUAUUGAAACGUUUGUUGCUGCUCUACCCUCAACUUCACAGGUGACAACAACUUCUGAUGGCGUUAGUGAAGACGAUCAAACUCAGUCACAGAGUCAACAGUGCCAGCUUUUGCAGCAGCAAGACAGUGGAGACACUGAACGCAGUUGUUGGAUAUGUUUUGCUUCAGAUGAAGAUAAUCGUCUAGCAGCCUGGGUACAACCUUGCAAAUGUCGCGGCUCUACAAAGUGGGUACAUCAGAGCUGUCUCUACCGUUGGGUAGAUGAAAAACAAAAGGGAAAUGCCCUGCGUACUGUUAGUUGUCAACAAUGUCAAACGGAAUAUAUAAUAGUCUUUCCACACAUGGGAAAAGUGGCCAAUAUUUUGGAAGCCUUUGAUAAUCUAAUAAAACGUGUUAGUCCCUUCUUAGCGGCUGGUAUUUUCGUGGGCUCCCUAUACUGGACCGCUGUUACAUAUGGUGCUGUUACAUUUUUGCAGAUUGUGGGCCAUAAAAAAGGUUUGGCUCUAAUGGAGAAUGGUGAUCCGCUUAUUUUACUGAUUGGUCUUCCAGCCAUACCAGUUUUCUUGGUUCUUGGUCGCAUGAUUCGUUGGGAAGAUGCUGUCAUACGAUUGAUUCGUAAUCGUCGUAAUGUUGCUCGUAAAUUGCCUCUAAUGAGUUUCAUUAUACCAUAUCCCGAAGAAGAUGAAGAACAAACUGCACAAAAUCCUGCAACUCCUACACUUUCGGAUCCCGUAUCGGCUACAAGAGUUUUUUGCGGUGCUUUACUGCUGCCAACAAUUUCAUCAAUUGUGGGACGUUUGUUAUUUGAAUCAAUUGAGAAUACCUUACAUCGCACUUUAUUAGGUGGUUUAACAUUUAUAACCGUUAAAGGAAUUUUAAAAAUCUACUUGAAACAACAACAAUAUACACGUAAAAAGAAACGUCAUAUAGUCGAUUAUACUGAAGAAAAUGUACGAACUUAUGUUAAUCGUAAUUCGUCAUCAAGAAAUCAAGGAGCUGCUGCCGCAUAUGCAGCCGCUGCAGCAGCAGCUGCUGCUGAUGGCGCUCAACAACAGCAGCAACAACAACAACAGCAGCAACAGCAACAACAAGCUUAUGUGCCAAGACCAAAUACACGAGAUAGUAUGGUGUAAACAAACAAUUUAAAUAUUUAACAAAAUUACGUUAAUUAAAGGAAAAAUGGAUCUCAUCACAUUAUGGUUCAUCAACAUUUGCCUCAACAAAAUCCUAUCAAAAUCAAACCGCUUCUACAAAAUCGAUCUCAUCAUCAUCAUCAUCGGCCAAUACAAGACAACGUGACAAAAUGGAAACCUAU